CAGAAACUGCAGGACACCAUGGUCUGUCAAACUGCUGGAUAACUGCUAAUCCCCAGAAACAGAGAGGAAUUGCAGCCCAAAUGGGGAGAGGUGCAUAACACCCCCUGUGUGACCCUGCUGCAGUCACCCGGGCAAGAUCAGCCUGAGUGCAGCACAGCACAUUGGUCUUGGUCCACUUCCAUAAGAGCAGCUGAACAGGAUCCCGCAGGACAGCUCCAUAGAAAGGGUUCCAAGCCCAUCUCCCUCAGCAUGAGACUGAGCACUGGGAUUUCAGAGUGCUGCUGGGAUCACCAGGUGACACAGAAAACCACACGGGUGACUCCAGCAGCUGGCAGAAGGACUUAGCAACUCAGGCAAAACUGCCAGCCCUGAGACAGGGGAGACAGUGCUGGUUUUGGAGGAUGGUGAGAAUUACCUGCAACUGUUAACUGCUUCAAGAUGAUAAAACCUAAUCUGCUUUCUCCUCUGUUCUUUCCAUAAGGCUUCAGAUGCUGUUCAGCCCUUGCAAAAGAUACAACUUUGGACAAUGGGGGAAACCCAAGCAUUUGCUGCUGAACAAUGGCAUCUAUUCAAG
This 574-nucleotide long non-coding RNA is filed under the name Gallus gallus (chicken). RNAcentral describes it as "long non-coding RNA NONGGAT003690". Lineage: Eukaryota; Metazoa; Chordata; Aves; Galliformes; Phasianidae. The record is from RNAcentral.